Molecule: ribosomal RNA, 465 nt
Filed under: uncultured bacterium
Lineage: Bacteria
Description: partial 16S ribosomal RNA
Rfam family: Bacterial small subunit ribosomal RNA
Source: RNAcentral
GACGAACGCUGGCGGCGUGCUUAACACAUGCAAGUCGAACGGAAAGGCCCUGCUUGCAGGGUACUCGAGUGGCGAACGGGUGAGUAACACGUGGGUGAUCUGCCCUGCACUUCGGGAUAAGCCUGGGAAACUGGGUCUAAUACCGGAUAGGAGCCAUUUUUAGUGUGAUGGUUGGAAAGUUUUUUCGGUGUAGGAUGAGCUCGCGGCCUAUCAGCUUGUUGGUGGGGUAAUGGCCUACCAAGGCGGCGACGGGUAGCCGGCCUGAGAGGGUGGACGGCCACAUUGGGACUGAGAUACGGCCCAGACUCCGACGGGAGGCAGCAGUGGGGAAUAUUGCACAAUGGGCGCAAGCCUGAUGCAGCGACGCCGCGUGGGGGAUGACGGCCUUCGGGUUGGAAACUCCUUUCGCUAGGGACGAAGCUUUUUGUGACGGUACCUAGAUAAGAAGCACCGGCUAACUACGUG